This 406-nucleotide ribosomal RNA is filed under the name uncultured bacterium. RNAcentral's name for it is "bacterial SSU rRNA". It matches the Rfam family "Bacterial small subunit ribosomal RNA", at positions 917 to 1322 of the family's 1533-position model. The record is from RNAcentral.
GGGCCCGCACAAGCAGUGGAGCAUGUGGUUUAAUUCGAUGCAACGCGAAGAACCUUACCAGGCCUUGACAUCCUCGGAACUUUCUAGAGAUAGAUUGGUGCCUUCGGGAACCGAGUGACAGGUGCUGCAUGGCUGUCGUCAGCUCGUGUCGUGAGAUGUUGGGUUAAGUCCCGUAACGAGCGCAACCCUUGUCCUUAGUUGCCAGCACAUUAUGGUGGGAACUCUAAGGAGACUGCCGGUGACAAACCGGAGGAAGGUGGGGACGACGUCAAAUCAUCAUGCCCCUUAUGUCUUGGGCUUCACGCAUGCUACAAUGGCCGGUACAGAGGGCUGCAAUACCGCAAGGUGGAGCGAAUCCCAAAAAGCCGGUCUCAGUUCGGAUUGAGGUCUGCAACUCGACCUCAUG